Molecule: transfer RNA, 73 nt
Filed under: Ailuropoda melanoleuca (giant panda)
Lineage: Eukaryota; Metazoa; Chordata; Mammalia; Carnivora; Ursidae
Rfam family: tRNA
About the family: Transfer RNA (tRNA) molecules are approximately 80 nucleotides in length.
Source: Rfam by way of RNAcentral
ACCUGACUGGCUCAGUCAAUACAGCACGUGACUCUUGAUCUCGGGGUCAUGAGUUCAAACCCCAUGUUGGGCA